UUUGAAAGUAAACUUAGCUUACCUCUCAGAACUCCUCCAUCCAUACACCCCACCCCGAAACCUGCAGUCCUCAGACGCUGGCCUGGUCUCCAUUCCCCACACCAGACUCUGGGCCUUG
Molecule: long non-coding RNA, 118 nt
Organism: Etheostoma cragini (Arkansas darter)
Lineage: Eukaryota; Metazoa; Chordata; Actinopteri; Perciformes; Percidae
Exons: 3
Source: RefSeq, a predicted model, not a curated record